Molecule: ribosomal RNA, 598 nt
Filed under: uncultured bacterium
Lineage: Bacteria
Description: bacterial SSU rRNA
Rfam family: Bacterial small subunit ribosomal RNA
Source: RNAcentral
GGGCAGGCCUACACAUGCAAGUCGAGCGGUAACAGAUCCAGCUUGCUGGAUGCUGACGAGCGGCGGACGGGUGAGUAACGCAUAGGAAUUUACCCGAUAGUGGGGGAUAACCUGGGGAAACUCAGGCUAAUACCGCAUACGUCCUACGGGAGAAAGGGGGCCUUGGCUCCCGCUAUCGGAUGAGCCUAUGCCGGAUUAGCUGGUUGGUGAGGUAAUGGCUCACCAAGGCGACGAUCCGUAGCUGGUCUGAGAGGAUGAUCAGCCACAUCGGGACUGAGACACGGCCCGAACUCCUACGGGAGGCAGCAGUGGGGAAUAUUGGACAAUGGGGGCAACCCUGAUCCAGCCAUGCCGCGUGUGUGAAGAAGGCCCUCGGGUUGUAAAGCACUUUCAGCGAGGAAGAACGCCUGGCGGUUAAUACCCGCCAGGAAAGACAUCACUCGCAGAAGAAGCACCGGCUAACUCCGUGCCAGCAGCCGCGGUAAUACGGAGGGUGCAAGCGUUAAUCGGAAUUACUGGGCGUANAGCGCGCGUANGUGGCUUGAUAAGCCGGUUGUGAAAGCCCCGGGCUCAACCUGGGAACCGCAUCCGGAACUGU